RNAcentral lists this ribosomal RNA (169 nucleotides) under uncultured bacterium WkA33. RNAcentral's name for it is "partial 16S ribosomal RNA". The record is from RNAcentral.
AUUACCGCGGCUGCUGGCACGAAGUUAGCCGGGGCUUCUUCUUCCGGUACCGUCAUUAUCGUCCCGAUCGAAAGGAGUUUACGUCCCAAGGGACUUCAUCCUCCACGCGGCGUUGCUGCGUCAGGGUUUCCCCCAUUGCGCAAAAUUCCCCACUGCUGCCUCCCGUAGG